AUUCCAGCUCCAAUAGCGUAUAUUAAAGUUGUUGCGGUUAAAAAGCUCGUAGUUGGAUUUCUGCUGAGGACGACUGGUCCGCCCCCUGGGUGAGCAUCUGGUUCGGCCUGGGCAUCUUCUUGGGGAACGUAUCUGCACUUGAUUGUGUGGUGCGGUAUCCAGGACUUUUACUUUGAGGAAAUUAGAGUGUUUCAAGCAGGCCCGCGCCUUGAAUACAUUAGCAUGGAAUAAUAAGAUAGGACCUCGGUUCUAUUUUGUUGGUUUCUAGGACCGAAGUAAUGAUUAAUAGGGACAGUUGGGGGCACUCAUAUUCCAUUGUCAGAGGUGAAAUUCUUGGAUUAACGGAAGAUGAACUUCUGCGAAAGCAUCUGCCAAGGAUGUUUUCAUCA
Molecule: ribosomal RNA, 389 nt
Filed under: Dinophyceae sp.
Lineage: Eukaryota; Dinophyceae
Description: partial small subunit ribosomal RNA
Rfam family: Eukaryotic small subunit ribosomal RNA
Source: RNAcentral